This 253-nucleotide ribosomal RNA is filed under the name uncultured bacterium. RNAcentral's name for it is "partial 16S ribosomal RNA". It matches the Rfam family "Bacterial small subunit ribosomal RNA", at positions 524 to 776 of the family's 1533-position model. The record is from RNAcentral.
UACGGAGGGUGCAAGCGUUGCUCGGAAUUAUUGGGCGUAAAGGGUCGGUAGGUGGUCUCAUUUGUCUGGGGUGAAAGCCUUGAGCUUAACUCAAGAAGUGCCCCAGAAACGGUGAGACUAGAGUCCUGGAGAGGGUCGUGGAAUUCCCGGUGUAGCGGUGAAAUGCGUAGAGAUCGGGAGGAACACCAGAGGCGAAGGCGGCGACCUGGACAGGCACUGACACUCAACUACGAAAGCGUGGGGAGCAAACAGG